RNAcentral lists this ribosomal RNA (301 nucleotides) under uncultured bacterium. Its description in RNAcentral is "partial 16S ribosomal RNA". It matches the Rfam family "Bacterial small subunit ribosomal RNA", at positions 509 to 809 of the family's 1533-position model. The record is from RNAcentral.
CAGUAGCCGCGGUAAUACGUAGGUGGCAAGCGUUGUCCGGAAUUAUUGGGCGUAAAGCGCGCGCAGGUGGUUUAAUAAGUCUGAUGUGAAAGCCCACGGCUCAACCGUGGAGGGUCAUUGGAAACUGUUAAACUUGAGUGCAGGAGAGAAAAGUGGAAUUCCUAGUGUAGCGGUGAAAUGCGUAGAGAUUAGGAGGAACACCAGUGGCGAAGGCGGCUUUUUGGCCUGUAACUGACACUGAGGCGCGAAAGCGUGGGGAGCAAACAGGAUUAGAUACCCCCGUAGUCCCUGUCUCUUAUAA